Molecule: long non-coding RNA, 715 nt
Organism: Patiria miniata (bat star)
Lineage: Eukaryota; Metazoa; Echinodermata; Asteroidea; Valvatida; Asterinidae
Exons: 3
Source: RefSeq, a predicted model, not a curated record
GUGUGUGUGUGUGCGUGUGUAAAUACCGGCAAUCGUGGACUUUCACUAGGAUACACACCUUCAAAUUGUGGACGCACUGGGACCGUGGACGUCCACGGUUACUUUUGCUGUAUUUUUGGAAUAUCUUUGGCUAGAAGAGGGCGCUCUAUCAUUCCCCAACAGUUUUAACGAUAGUCCACGUUUUGGCGGUGAAGAUCAGGAGUCGGUGCGUGAAAGUAUGAACUACAUUCAGCUCGUGUGACAAAAAAAUGGAACGUACUCGUCCCUAACUGUAGGACGCCCUCAAGCGGUACGUGCGUGGCGCGCUGUACCGAUCCGGGCCGCUGCGAGCGCGCCGAGCGCGCAAGUUGGCACCGUGCCAUGCCAUUUCCCGCGCUUGCAGGAUGAAACACGUCCACGAUUCGAUUGUUCAGAUCGCUGGACGCCUGCGAUGAUUUAACGAUUAUAGGCAGAUAGAAGGCACAUCAGAGAAAAUGAAUUGCAGAAAAACAAGGAGAAUAUCGCCUCAACAACAUGCUGAGAAAUGGUGCAAUAAUGGCAGUGAUCAAGAAGGCUUCGAGAGGAGGUACAUCAAUGACUGUGUUGGUUAUGGUCUUUUCACCACUAAGCAUUUCAGCAAGGGGGACUUCCUGCUGGAGUAUAGAGGGAAAUUGGGCAAGGGAAAUUGCAACAACGAUAACGAUUACACUUUCUUUUUCAACCACCAGGGUGUUGA